GGUGAACCAGCGGAGGGAUCAUUACCGAGUUAUACAACUCAUCAACCCUGUGAACAUACCUAAAACGUUGCCUCGGCGGGAACAGACGGCCCCGUAACACGGGCCGCCCCCGCCAGAGGACCCCCUAACUCUGUUUCUAUAAUGUUUUUUCUGAGUAAACAAGCAAAUAAAUCAAAACUUUCAACAACGGAUCUCUUGGCUCUGGCAUCGAUGAAGAACGCAGCGAAAUGCGAUAAGUAAUGUGAAUUGCAGAAUUCAGUGAAUCAUCGAAUCUUUGAACGCACAUUGCGCCCGCCAGUAUUCUGGCGGGCAUGCCUGUUCGAGCGUCAUUACAACCCUCAGGCCCCCGGGUCUGGCGUUGGGGAUCGGCGGAAGCCCCCUGUGGGCACAACGCCGUCCCCCAAAUACAGUGGCGGUCCCGCCGCAGCUUCCAUUGCGUAGUAGCUAACACCUCGCAACUGGAGAGCGGCGCGGCCACGCCGUAAAACACCCAACUUCUGAAUGUUGACCUCGAAUCAGGUAGGAAUACCCGCUGAACUUAA
This 542-nucleotide ribosomal RNA is filed under the name Fusarium solani. RNAcentral describes it as "eukaryotic LSU rRNA". The stretch from base 176 to 329 matches the Rfam family "5.8S ribosomal RNA". Lineage: Eukaryota; Fungi; Ascomycota; Sordariomycetes; Hypocreales; Nectriaceae. The record is from RNAcentral.